UACGUAGGGUGCGAGCGUUGUCCGGAAUUAUUGGGCGUAAAGAGCUCGUAGGCGGCUUGUCGCGUCGGAUGUGAAAGCCCGGGGCUUAACUCCGGGUCUGCAUUCGAUACGGGCAGGCUAGAGUUCGGUAGGGGAGAUCGGAAUUCCUGGUGUAGCGGUGAAAUGCGCAGAUAUCAGGAGGAACACCGGUGGCGAAGGCGGCGUCCUGGACCAACACUGACACUGAUGAGCGAAAGCCAGGGGAGCAAACGGG
RNAcentral lists this ribosomal RNA (253 nucleotides) under uncultured bacterium. Its description in RNAcentral is "partial 16S ribosomal RNA". It matches the Rfam family "Bacterial small subunit ribosomal RNA", at positions 524 to 776 of the family's 1533-position model. The record is from RNAcentral.